RNAcentral lists this ribosomal RNA (396 nucleotides) under uncultured bacterium. RNAcentral describes it as "partial 16S ribosomal RNA". It matches the Rfam family "Bacterial small subunit ribosomal RNA", at positions 360 to 773 of the family's 1533-position model. The record is from RNAcentral.
AAUAAUGGACAAUGGUCGCAAGCCUGAUCCAGCCCUGCCGCGUGAGAGAAGAAGGCCCUAGGGUUGCAAAUCUUUUUCACCCGGAAAAAUGAUGACGGAAGCGGGAGGAGAGACACCGGCACACUACGUACCAGCAGCCGCGGUAAUACGGAGAGCGCCAGCGUUGUUCGGAUUUACUGGGCGUAAAGGGCGCGUAGGCGGAUGUUCGCGUCAGAGGUGAAAGCCCCGGGCUCAACCUGGGAACUGCCUUUGAAACGGGACAUCUUGAGUUCGUGAGAGGGUAGCGGAAUUCCCAGUGUAGAGGUGAAAUUCGUAGAUAUGUGGAAGAACACCGGUGGCGAAGGCGGCUACCUGGCCCGUUACUGACGCUGAGGCGCGAAAGCGUGGGGAGCAAAC